Molecule: long non-coding RNA, 1864 nt
Filed under: Salmo salar (Atlantic salmon)
Lineage: Eukaryota; Metazoa; Chordata; Actinopteri; Salmoniformes; Salmonidae
Description: lncRNA (ENSSSAG00000088347.1)
Source: RNAcentral
CGGCCAGGGUCUGCCGUUACCAACGAUGACCCUGGAGCAACUAGGGUUAAAGGUCCAGUGCAGUAAAAAAAUAAAAAAUAAAAUAUAUUUUCCUAAUUUUAUACACACACACACUGAUGUUGGAGUAAAACUCUGAAAAUGAUGUCAGCCUGUUUUGGUGGGAUGGAAUUUUGGCCUGCCUUGUGUCAUCUCUUUAUUAAGAAGCAAUUAUUGGGGGGGACCAUUUUCAUUGAAAACAUUCACAGUAAGGUACUUAAUUGUUACCCAGAAAUGUGAUAUUGCUCAAGGGCACAUAAACAGAUUCUUCACCUUGUCAGUUCAGGGUUCAAACUAGUGACCUUUCCGUUAUUGGCCCAGCGCUUUAACCACUAGGCUACCUGCCGCCUCCCACCCACAUUUAACCUUUUGAAAAGGGGGAAGAGGAAAAGAGGAGACGAGCAAAACCAAUUGAGAAUCUCCCUUGGUCCUCUCCACAGGGUUCUGACAAGAGCCACAAUAUGGUCCUCAGAGCCUCGCUUCCACUGGCAACACAAAAGGAAUGACUCCACCACAUAAAAAUGUUACACGUUACUAAUAAUAAGAACAAGAUAUGGUCAAACAAAAAUUUUCUUACUUUAAUACCAUACUGCAUAUACUAUGAUUACAGUUAAACAAUAAUAACAACAACAAGCCAAUACAUACUUUAACCUCUCCAAUGAACUGGUGUGUGUGUGUGUGUGUGUGUAAGGAUGAGCAUAAGUGUUUGGGGAAACUGGUUGGAUACAAUAGUACUGAAGGAAUUAAUACCACAUGUUUUCCUCGCCACCGUGCUUCUACACCUGCAUUGCUUGCUGUUUGGGGGUUUUAGGCUGGGUUUCUGUACAGCACUUUGUGACAUCUGCUGAUGUAAAACGUGCUUUAUAUAUACAUUUGAUUGAUUGAUGUUGCUUUCCAUUAAGGCACUGACAGUCCUGAUUAAUUAACCAAAUUGCAUAAUGAAAUCAGAAGCAUUACCCUAAGAAUAUCUGAAGCUGCUUGAGAGUUGCUAUCACUGAAUUUAAAUGACUUACUAAAGCCAACGUGCUUUCCUAAAAUAACGGCAGUGAAAAUGUUGGUCCCUAAUUAUCACAUUAUGUAAAUAAAAUAUCAAUUAGGGGUCAACAUUAAGAAAGAUUGUUUGAAAUGGAUUCUUAUUAAGGAAUAUUUUACUAGGUAGCUACAUUUAAGCCAUUUAUAUCUAACAUGAUUUACUGUACCAGACAAACCGACAGGAUCAGAGAAACAGACAGAAUCAGAGGCAGAUACCCCUCCUACUCGUGCAGACAACCCUUAAUGAUCUUUCCCAUUCUGACUGAACCCUACAGGAACUUUUUUAGAAGCCUGGUUCUGUCCUGGUUAAGGUUCCACUGAGGAAGGCUGUCAGUUUCCCAUCAGGCACUGUGGCACUGUCAAAAGGAAACCAGUAGUUAAACUCAAGAUGACCAAAAGGCCAUGGCAUCAUACCAUUAUGACCUAUGAAAUAAUAUAUAUUCUUUAAACAAAUCUUGACUUUUCGGUUGUCCAAGUGCUUUUUUUUGUUGCAAAUAUGAAUAAAGACAUGCCUAGUAUUUCACCCACACAACAAACAGGCCUAUUCAUGGCAGUGAGAUUAAAAAUCCCACUUUAAGAUCAAAUCGAAGAUCACCAUCUGAGUUGAGUGCAUUGUAAACAAAAAGGUUUGGUUGUAAAAAUUUAAGUUUUUAGAGAAAUUCGGGAACAUAAUGGAUGAAGAUUACAUUGAGAAAAAAACAGAAGCAUGGAAGGGUCUUGUAUGAACACUGUUGCACGGCAGGGAUCAGGUCAGUUCCAAUUACUUUCAUCAAUUAAAAUUACAUUCAAGAUGUUA